RNAcentral lists this ribosomal RNA (253 nucleotides) under uncultured bacterium. Its description in RNAcentral is "partial 16S ribosomal RNA". It matches the Rfam family "Bacterial small subunit ribosomal RNA", at positions 524 to 776 of the family's 1533-position model. The record is from RNAcentral.
UACGAAGGGGGCUAGCGUUGCUCGGAAUCACUGGGCGUAAAGCGCACGUAGGCGGAUCUUUAAGUCAGGGGUGAAAUCCUGGAGCUCAACUCCAGAACUGCCUUUGAUACUGAUGAGCUUGAGUUCGGGAGAGGUGAGUGGAACUGCGAGUGUAGAGGUGAAAUUCGUAGAUAUUCGCAAGAACACCAGUGGCGAAGGCGGCUCACUGGCCCGAUACUGACGCUGAGGUGCGAAAGCGUGGGGAGCAAACAGG